Small nuclear RNA from Oreochromis aureus, 166 nucleotides. Its record names the gene U1. It matches the Rfam family "U1 spliceosomal RNA". From Rfam's summary of the family: U1 is a small nuclear RNA (snRNA) component of the spliceosome (involved in pre-mRNA splicing). Its 5' end forms complementary base pairs with the 5' splice junction, thus defining the 5' donor site of an intron. The record is from Ensembl. Lineage: Eukaryota; Metazoa; Chordata; Actinopteri; Cichliformes; Cichlidae.
AUACUUACCUGGCAGGGGAGAUACCAUGAUCACGAAGGUGGUUCACCCAGGGCGAGGCUCAGCCAUUGCACUGCGGUUGUGCUGACCCCUGUGAAUUCCCCAAAUGCGGGAAUCUCAACUGCAUAAUUUGUGGUAGUGGGGGACUGCGUCAAGGCGCUCUCCCCUC